CAGUCGCCACGGUAAUACGAAGGGUGCAAGCGUUAAUCGGAAUUACUGGGCGUAAAGCGUGCGUAGGCGGUGAGUUAAGUCUGCUGUGAAAUCCCCGGGCUCAACCUGGGAAUGGCAGUGGAUACUGGCUCGCUAGAGUGUGUCAGAGGAUGGUGGAAUUCCCGGUGUAGCGGUGAAAUGCGUAGAGAUCGGGAGGAACAUCAGUGGCGAAGGCGGCCAUCUGGGACAACACUGACGCUGAGGCACGAAAGCGUGGGGAGCAAACCGGAUUAGAUACCCCCGUAGUCCCUGUCUCUUAUAC
Molecule: ribosomal RNA, 301 nt
Filed under: uncultured bacterium
Lineage: Bacteria
Description: partial 16S ribosomal RNA
Rfam family: Bacterial small subunit ribosomal RNA
Source: RNAcentral